This is a non-coding RNA of Biomphalaria pfeifferi, 210 nucleotides long. Lineage: Eukaryota; Metazoa; Mollusca; Gastropoda; Planorbidae. The record is from the annotation of a GenBank genome assembly.
UUUUGUAAGUGAAAAUUUUAAAAAUUUAAAUUUAAAAAAAUGUAAGUUUUUAUUUCCUUUAUUUUAAAACAAUGAACAAAAUCACUACGAGUAAGAUAAAUUAUCAAAGUUGUUUGAAAAAAGGGAAAAAAAAGGGUCCAUUAUAUUUGUGUUUUAUUGUAGUAUAUCGAUUUCUGAACAUUUAUUUUAACAAAAACUGCCCCCCCCCCC